CGGGCGGCCGCGGGCCCUAAAGCCCCUCACACGCCUCAGGGAGAAACGGGGAACCCGCUGACGGGAGAAGUGUGAGAUCCCGAGCGUGAGGUACUGCAAGUGACAAGGCUUCCUGAGUUAAAACAGGAAGGAUGAUAGAAAAGCGCUGAGUUUUACCUGACGUGCUGUGAACCAAGAGGUCCACUUUCCAGCUACUCUCUCAUUAAUUUGGCCAGUAACCAUUCAAGAAAAUCAAAUCACUUCCGUCUUCACCUUGGAUAUGACCUUGCUCUGCCUGAAGCUUAAUGGCUGUAAUGUGCGGUGUGAGUUAAGUCGAAGAUGAUUCUCAAAUGCAUUGCAGGAUGGACAUGAAGUAUUUUAUAAGUAAGCCCAGCAAUUUCAGAAGGAAGCUUUCAUUUUGAAUAAAAUGCUCAACGGCUGGUGCGACAUGCUGCCACCUCUCGCUGGCCGGGCUGCCCAGGGAAUGAAGGAAGUUCACACCCUUGACAAGGGCUUUGUUUCCCUCCCUCUGGCUGAAGACCAAGUGAAAGCGGUGCAAAGGCACUCUUUGUCACCAGGGCUGGACUUUUCAUUCUUUUGAAAUGAAAGCAUAUAGAAAUGCGGAAAGGGACGGGAGAAAGAAACUCUUUCCCACUGACUCCCUUGCAGUAUGCCCCUAAUAGCCCUGUAAAUAUACAAUGUGCAUAGUUCACCACACAGAUGUCAUUCUGCUCUUAAACUGAUGUGUAUUACUACAGCCCGGUAAUUUGGCUGGCAGGCUGGCAUACAUUUGAAGCACCCAACAAGAACCUCCCCUUUCUAGCUGCAGCAUAAAUCCUCGUGGUGUCCCCACCUCGCUCCGGAGUUAUGUAUCUCCCUCAGUUACUUGCAUUCCAAAAGCUGAUCUCCUGUCAAACUCCUUUUUUUCUCCCCCCAAGGCUGAGUAUUUUAUGCUCAUCAAGCAGUUCCUCAUCAGGCAUUUCCUCCACUCUCAAGUUAUUGAACUUUUCUGGAGAACUUCCAAGACAUGGGUAAGGUGGAUUGGGUUUUUUUGCCUUCUCUCUGCAGGCUGCAGCCCAGAGUUGAGCAGAACUUUCCAAGCAAACAGCUUUAUUCAGUGGCACCGUUGUUCCCUGAACUUUGUGAUUAACUCCUUUGCUGAUUCACCCGAUCACUCCUGUCCUUUCUUUGCAAAUGGAUCCUCUCACCUUUGUGCAAUUCGCUUCUCACCAUCUCUCCUAGGCCCCAGGUCUGAGGAACUGCUUUCCACUUCUGGCGUGUGAGUGUAUUUGUUGGAAACAGCUCUUCCGCUAUGCAACCUUCUACUUGAGGUCCUAUUUAUCUAGGUACAACCUGCUGCAGAGUAUGAGUUCUUUCCUGACAACACCCUGAUAACUAUUACCCCACUUUACAUACACUCUUAUCCAGCAAUUGUUAUUCCAGGAGACACUCUGCUAUCAAUUUUUGGUUUCCUGAUUUAUGGUCACUUCCCCUUUGCUCCAUUGCUCCAGCAUUUACGUAAAUUCCUAUUCUGGCUGCAACACUUUUAGCAGGUGGCACAGCAUAAGUAGAUAUUUCAUCUUCUGCAGGAAUUCUCAAAAUUCACUGAUCUUGCACGAUUGUCCACAAUGAGCAGCAAAUAAUCAAGACAAGCUUGAUGUAGUUUCACCUAUAAGUUUCUUAAAAAAAAAAAAAAAAAAACAACUAGACCUCUAUAGCUGUUGUUGACAUGGUUAUGUUAAAUAUUCUUACUGAAUCGAGACCUCUCAAAAU
Grus americana (Whooping crane) is the source of this 1752-nucleotide long non-coding RNA. RefSeq lists it as uncharacterized. The transcript is spliced from 4 exons. The record is from RefSeq and is a predicted model, not a curated record. Lineage: Eukaryota; Metazoa; Chordata; Aves; Gruiformes; Gruidae.